Molecule: ribosomal RNA, 486 nt
Filed under: uncultured bacterium
Lineage: Bacteria
Description: partial 16S ribosomal RNA
Rfam family: Bacterial small subunit ribosomal RNA
Source: RNAcentral
GAUGAACGCUGGCGGCGUGCCUAAUACAUGCAAGUCGAACGCUGGAGAUCUAUCUUGCUAGAUCGAAGGAGUGGCGAACGGGUGAGUAAUACAUAAGCAACCUACCCACGAAGACUGGGAUAAUCUCUGGAAACGGGUACUAAUACCGGAUAGGUAAUCGGAAGGCAUCUUCUGGUUAUUAAAGGUUAAAAACACUGGUGGAUGGGCUUAUGGCGCAUUAGUUAGUUGGUGAGGUAACGGCCCACCAAGACGCUGAUGCGUAGCCGGCCUGAGAGGGUGAACGGCCACAUUGGGACUGAGACACGGCCCAGACGCCUACGGGAGGAAGCAGUAGGGAAUUGUCGGCAAUGGGGGCAACCCUGACCGAGCAACGCCGCGUGAGUGAAGACGGCCUUCGGGUUGUAAAGCUCUGUUGUAAGGGAAGAACGGUAGAUAGAGAAUAUCUAAGUGACGGUACCUGACCAGAAAGCCACGGCUAACUACGUG